RNAcentral lists this ribosomal RNA (278 nucleotides) under uncultured bacterium. Its description in RNAcentral is "partial 16S ribosomal RNA". It matches the Rfam family "Bacterial small subunit ribosomal RNA", at positions 335 to 604 of the family's 1533-position model. The record is from RNAcentral.
ACUCCUACGGGAGGCAGCAGUGGGGAAUAUUGGACAAUGGGGGAACCCGUAGAUCCAGCCAUGCCGCGUGUGUGAAGAAGGCCUUCGGGUUGUAAAGCACUUUCAGUGGGGAGGAAAGGUUGAUGGUUAAUACCUAUCAGCUGUGACGUUACCCACAGAAGAAGCACCGGCUAACUCCGUGCCAGCAGCCGCGGUAAUACGGAGGGUGCAAGCGUUAAUCGGAAUUACUGGGCGUAAAGCGUGCGCAGGCGGUCUGUUAAGCGAGAUGUGAAAGCCCC